AAGAGUUCAAAUGUCCAAGUACCUUUACUCAGAUAAAGAGAAAAAAAAAUAGAAGCUCUGUGUGGGGGCGCUUCAUCUUGGGGAGAUUAGGGCUAUGUUUGGAGGGGCUUUUUAGCUCCCCCGCUUAUAAGCACAAGAUGACUAUGCGUUUGGUAACCCGACUUAUGUUUAGCUUAUUCCAAACCCGACUUAUGUUUAGCUUAUUCCAAAAGCCGUUGCGGCUUCUCUCGAAAAGUAGAAGCUGCCUGACCCCUGCUUUCAGAAGCUAGAAGCCAGGAUCCUACUGUAGCGGGAGUGACUGUAGAUUAAUGAAUCUUUCAAAAUAUCGGUCUCUAUCCUCCCUUGGUUGAGGCAAUUACGGAUUGCCAUGAAACCUUUCUUCUAUCUAGAGUCUAGACGUUGCACAAUCUCUCUUCCUGUCAUCACAGACGCCGCAUCACACACACCCUCCCUCUGACGCUGCCUCAGCCUCUCAUCAAGAUUUCGAGUUGGAAAUCGAAGCCUCAAUCAAGGCUGCUUGGCAAUUUGAUUCAGUCCUCAAGGUAUCCAGGGUCUCCUUCCUUGCUUAGUCCCGUGACAGAGGAAGACGAAGAACCUGUUCAUAUUGAUGAAACUAGUGCAGAUGACCAUGACGACAUAAUGCAGUGGAGUGAGCAAGAUAAUGAUAUGAGCAGUGAGGAAUUUAGGGAAGUCAUUGAAUAAAAAAUAUGAUCACAAUUCCUAAUGGCCAUAUGCUGGGGGGAUAUAUGCGGUAGAACCGAUUAGGCUCCAAAUGCUCAUUUUGUCUUGUGCUGGACCUGAAUCAUCUGAUUACAAUUCUACCAAAUACACUUUGGAACAUUUGACCUGCCUCCACUAGUAGGAAAUGAUUGUAUUCUUGAAAGGAUGUUGUUAUGCAGUUUGAGCCAUCAAUAUUGAAAGUUGUUACGAAGUGUACAACUUAAUGCUCUGCUCAUUCAACAUUAUUACAUGAACUAUGUUCAUAAAA
Molecule: long non-coding RNA, 988 nt
Organism: Rosa chinensis
Lineage: Eukaryota; Viridiplantae; Streptophyta; Magnoliopsida; Rosales; Rosaceae
Exons: 2
Source: RefSeq, a predicted model, not a curated record